RNAcentral lists this ribosomal RNA (406 nucleotides) under uncultured bacterium. Its description in RNAcentral is "bacterial SSU rRNA". It matches the Rfam family "Bacterial small subunit ribosomal RNA", at positions 355 to 776 of the family's 1533-position model. The record is from RNAcentral.
UGGGGAAUCUUGCGCAAUGGACGAAAGUCUGACGCAGCAACGCCGCGUGAGGGAUGAAGGCUUUCUGAGUUGUAAACCUCUUUCGACAGGAACGAUAAUGACGGUACCUGUAGAAGAAGCACCGGCCAACUAUGUGCCAGCAGCCGCGGUGAUACAUAGGGUGCAAGCGUUAUUCGGAUUUAUUGGGCGUAAAGAGCUCGUAGGCGGUUCGAUUAGUCGGGUGUGAAAUCUCUGGGCUUAACCCAGAGCGGCCACCCGAAACUGUCGUGACUAGAGUUUGGUAGGGGAUCACGGAAUUCCUGGUGUAGCGGUGGAAUGCGCAGAUAUCAGGAGGAACACCAGCAGCGAAGGCGGUGAUCUGGGCCAAUACUGACGCUGAGGAGCGAAAGCGUGGGGAGCGAACAGG